CAUAGCCAAUAGAAAAAAUUAUUAAUGGUGACGCCUGCUCAAUGAAAAUAGCUGCGGUAACACCUGACCGUGCAAAGGUAGCAUAAUAAAUCGCCCACUAACUACGGGAUGGAAUGAAGGUAGCACGAAGCUCCAACUGUCUCAAAAUUAUAAAAUAUAAAAUAGAAUGUGUGUGUAAAUCCACACUAAAACGGCAAGACGAUAAGACCCUAAGAACUUUAAGUUCUAAGUUUCGUUGGGGCAACGAUCUUUAAAAAAGUAACUAAGAUAAGACCCAUUAAAUAAUUAAUGAUAAUAUAAUAAAAGUUCCUUAGGGAUAACAGCGUUAUAUCGUUUCAAGAGAACCAUCCAAACGAUGUUUGCGACCUCGAU
RNAcentral lists this ribosomal RNA (372 nucleotides) under Acanthascus sp. SMF12080. RNAcentral's name for it is "partial 16S ribosomal RNA". It matches the Rfam family "Bacterial large subunit ribosomal RNA", at positions 1814 to 2530 of the family's 2925-position model. Lineage: Eukaryota; Metazoa; Porifera; Hexactinellida; Lyssacinosida; Rossellidae. The record is from RNAcentral.